Long non-coding RNA from Strongylocentrotus purpuratus (purple sea urchin), 280 nucleotides. RefSeq lists it as uncharacterized. The record is from RefSeq and is a predicted model, not a curated record. The transcript has 2 exons. Lineage: Eukaryota; Metazoa; Echinodermata; Echinoidea; Camarodonta; Strongylocentrotidae.
CCUUGUUUUACAGUGCUAAAUGAAAGUACUUUGCAUACAAUGUAUGGGUAUGCAUUCUGUGUGUAGGCACUUGUGUUAUAGAUGUAUCGCAUAUUAUGUGUAGAGGCAGUAUAUCAUCAUUGUUCAAGUGAAUGUUUCAACAGUGAAGUUGCAAGUUGCAACCGUCUUCAAAAGUUUGAUUUCCAGUGAUUGUGGAGCAUUUUACAGACCCGAAUUGAUUGUUAUCUGAAGAUUUGGUGACCAUACGACCAGUGAAUAAACGACAGUUCGUGAACUUUAA